AACUGUAGGUAAUACCGGAUAAUAUCUCCGGAUCAAAGGUGUGAGUCCGCCGGAGGAUGGGUCUACAUCCUAUUAGCUAGUUGGUGAGGUAAUGGCUCACCAAGGCCAAGAUGGGUAGCGGGUGUGAGAGCACGACCCGCGUCAUUGGGACUGAGACACUGCCCAGACACCUACGGGUGGCUGCAGUCGAGAAUCUUCGGCAAUGGGCGCAAGCCUGACCGAGCGACGCCGCGUGUGGGAUGAAGGCCUUCGGGUUGUAAACCACUGUCAGUAAGGAGGAAGGCUCCGUGAAGAGCGGAGUUUGACCUAUUUGCAGAGGAAGCAUGGGCUAAGUUCGUGCCAGCAGCCGCGGUAAGACGAACCAUGCAAACGUUAUUCGGAAUCACUGGGCUUAAAGGGUGCGUAGGCGGUGCGGUAAGUUGGAUGUGAAAUCCCUCAGCUUAACUGAGGAACUGCGUUCAAAACUACCGUGCUAGAGGGAGAUAGAGGUGAGCGGAACUUAGGGUGGAGCGGUGAAAUGCGUUGAUAUCCUAAGGAACACCGGUGGCGAAAGCGGCUCACUGGAUCUUUUCUGACGCUGAGGCACGAAAGCUAGGGGAGCAAACGGGAUUAGAUACCCCGGUAGUCCUAGCCGUAAACGAUGAGCACUGGAUUGGAGGGUCCUCCAUAGCCCUCCAGUCGCAGAGAAAUUGUUAAGUGCU
RNAcentral lists this ribosomal RNA (701 nucleotides) under uncultured Planctomycetota bacterium. Its description in RNAcentral is "bacterial SSU rRNA". It matches the Rfam family "Bacterial small subunit ribosomal RNA", at positions 155 to 868 of the family's 1533-position model. Lineage: Bacteria; Pseudomonadati; Planctomycetota. The record is from RNAcentral.